Long non-coding RNA from Mustela lutreola (European mink), 3701 nucleotides. RefSeq lists it as uncharacterized. The record is from RefSeq and is a predicted model, not a curated record. NCBI's taxonomy places the organism in Eukaryota, Metazoa, Chordata, Mammalia, Carnivora, Mustelidae. The transcript is spliced from 5 exons.
CGCCCCUCGCGACCAGGUUGGCCUGCACCUUGCGGCUCCUACGGCGGGGGGCGCGCCGGAAGCCGGAGCUGGGAGAGGCCGGCGACGUCGCACGGGAAGGUACCGUAGAAGGACCGGCAGCCUGCCAGUGUAGCGGGAGGCUGACUCGCAGGGCCUGGACAUCCCAUUUAUGUCAUAACACGGCCCAAAGACCCGGAUGCUGUGUCCGAGAAGGUCACUCUGCCUUGCUUCCUACUCCUCAGGAAAGAUGACAGGUUAUGGAAGAUAAUGAGAGCGAGAGCACAAGCAGGGGAGCAGCAGAGGGAGAGGGAAAAGCAGACUCCCCACUGAGCAGGAAGCCUGAUAUGGGACUUGAUUCCAGGACCUUGGGAUCACAACGCAAGCCGAAGGCAGACACUUAACCAACUGAGCCAUCCAGGUGCCCUGCAUCUGGAGGAGACUGGGGGCAGUGGGGAGAACGAUGCCUUCUGCAUCAAAGGAAGCGGGUCUCAGAGGUGCCAGCCCUGCGAGGAGAUGAGAGGUCAGCCGGGUUGUCUGGAUCCAGUUUUUACCAAAAUGAUGGACCAGAGAAAGAAGGAACCUUAGACAGUCUGACCUAGUUACAUUUGCAUUUUCCCAGGAAAAAUGACUGUAAAAUUCCUCAGAAACACUUGGAGUCGUUUUCUGGCGCAGAGAGGAAGAAGGCGGGAGAAACAAUGACACUGCGUUCAGGGCUGAAAAGAGAAGAAAGCUCAACUGGGGAGUGCAGGGCGAUGCUAGAAGAAAGCCAGGGUCCCACCUGGAUCCUCUGGGAGAAAAGGAUGAAAAAGGGAACUGGCUUGGCAAGGAGACCUGUCCCCAGCCAUCUGCACAUGCAGGAGAAGCUGGCCACCGAAGGCACUGCACGUUCCCAGGCAGGAACGACGGGUGGCACUCAACAGCGGAGAAGAAAAAAAUCAUCAGAUACUGACACGUUCUUUAAGAUCAUGAAGUUGAUUUUUAUUUAGGGGUGCCUGGGUGGCUCAGCGGGUUAAAGCCUCUGCCUUCGGCCCAGGUCAUGAUCCCAGGACCCUGGGAUGGAGCCCCGCAUUGGGCUCUCUGCUCAGUGCAGAGCCUGCUUCUCUCUCUCUCUCUCUCUCUCUCUCUCUCUCUGCCUGCCUUUCUGCCUACUUGUGUUCUCUGUCAAAUAAAAAAAAAAAAAAAAAAAAAAAAAAAAAGAUCAUGAAGUUUACUUUCCCCAAAGAAUCUUUUUAAAAUCCCACACUGAUUUGGCAACUUUCUCAUUAUCAUGCCCUGUGGCACAGCAGCACGUAAGGCCCGGGUGGUUUCCUGAGGGGAAAUCCCGAUCUCCUGGAUUACAUAAAAUAAAAACAUAAAAGAAGAAGGAGAAAAAGGAGCAGAGGUAGAAGAGGAAGGAGAAGGAGAAGUACAACCUUCUAGCCACAUUUGUUGGGAGGAUCCAGUGACUGGGCCUCUGAAGCUCUUCGCGGAUCCCCUGGCCUGGAGCAGGUGUUUGCUCAAUGCCGUCGUUGCUUCUACUGACAUAGUUGUGCGAGUAUCUCGGGAUUAGGCGCUGAGUACCCAGGGCCACACUGGCUUUGUCGGGGAGAGGGUCAUCCAAACUCAGUGGAGUGUGGUGGAGACUGCUAGAUGUUUUUUGCAUCAAACAUCUCUUAGGCGAUGCUUGAGAUCUUUCAGCCUCCUCUGUCUCAGACUUUGGCCUCUUGUCUGGGCCCAGCUGCUGCUGGAGUGUACCAGCUCUGCCCGUCUUCUGACUUCACGCAGAUGCCAUGUGAUGGUCACGCCCCUCAGGACCUGUGCCAUUUGCGGGCUGACUCCCCUUGCUGAGGUUUCCCUGUUGUGGAAAGAGUCCUUAAAAGAAUGGACAUGCCCUUUUCUUUCUCAGAGCAUGAGCAGGGGGGAGGACCAGAGGGAGAAGCAGACCCUGCUGAGUGUGGAGCCCAAGGCAGGGCUCGAUCCCAGGACCCUGAGAUCAUGACCUGAGCAGAAGACAGACAUCUAACCAAUGAGCCACCCAGGCACCCCUAAGAAUAGAUAGGCUUUUCUCUUUUUUUUUCCCCCUCCUGGUUUUGAUGUGAGCAUGAUGGCUGGAGCUAGGGCAGCCCUUUUGGCCACGAAGUAGAAGCCGUAUGUUGAGGACGGCGGAGCGCAAAGACAACAGGAGCUGGGGUCACUGCGGAAUGGGCAGGCAGCACACCAGGUCUAGACUGACUAUCUGGAUAUGAUUUUGAGAAAGAAAAGUUUCUAUCUUUUUAGAAGACUAUUAUGUGGGGUUUUCUGUCACUCUCUGCUAAGCUGAAUCCUAACUAUUCAACUAGAAAAUAGGCCUUCCAUACGAAUGAAAUGAAGGGAAAGGGAGAAAAAACAUCAUCAUGUGUGAGUUCAGAAGCAUGGAACAGCGGCACUGGAUCCAGACGUCAGUGUUUUUACCAACAUCACAUUCUAUCAUCUCUUCUAAAUUGAGGGUAUGCGAGCCAGAUGCCCAGUGACUUGGUCACCUUUGAGAUAACAGAAUACUGACAUUCCAGACUAGCAAAAAGCAAACAAAACACUCUCCAUCCAGAAAGCUGACCUGUCAGUGCUUCUCAUCUAUGUGUGUGUGUUUUUUUUUUAAAGAUUUUAUUUAUUUAUUUGACAGACAGAGAUCACAAGCAGGCAGAGAGGCAGGCAGAGAGAGAGGAGGAAGCAGGCUCCCUGCUGAGCAGAGAGCCUGAUGCAGGGCUCCAUCCCAGAACCCUGAGAUCACGACCUGAGCCGAAGGCAGCAGCUUAACCCACUGAGCCACCCAGGCGUCCCGCUUCUCAUCUAUGUUAAUGUUUGGUAUUAGUCGCAGUAGUAUUUACUGUGGGUCAGGCUCUGUGCUGAGCUCUCCAAAUAGAAAACCCAGGCAACCACGCUCUGUGAAGGAAAUGUCUGAGAGGGUCAGAGCACUGGCCUGGGAUUCCAGUUGAGAAGUUUACCAGCAUCCUGGCUAAGACAGUAGCCAAGUUAGGGAGGAGGGGGUGGGCUGUAAGACUCCUUAAGAGAUGAUAUUCACAGGACUUUAUGACUGACGGAAGCAGAGGCUGAAGGGGUUCAGAAUUAUUCUCAGGUUUCUAGGAUGGAGGUCUGGCUAGGAGAUGGCUUCACAAAUUGAGAGGGAACACACACGAAGGAAGAGAAGGAGAAGGAAGGGGGGAGGAUGAGGCUUAGCAGAGAAGGUAGAGAAGAUGAUGGGUUCCACCCUGGGCAUGUUGAAUGUGAGUUAUCCCUGGGCACCAAGGAGAGAUGGAAACAAGAAAUGAACAGACGAGCCUGGAUCUCGGGGAGAAGGCUUGGUUAGAACACUUGUGGAAUGAUUUUGUAAUGUUUUGUUUGUGACGUUGUGCUUCCCAGUAGACUGAGUUUUGUGGGGGAGGAAUAGCCUUGCUAAUCUUGUAUUCCUGGAACUUAGAACUGAGCCUACAACAUAGUCAAUGCUCUAUGAAUGUUGGGGCAGUGAUUGGCAGUAAAAUAAAUGAAUGAAUGAAUUUCAAUCCAUCAAAAAGUUACACAUUUUUGUCAUCUCAAGUUGCGACUCCAUAUAUGUUCGAAUGGAAACAUGUUUACAGAGCUCGGUUGGCUGCAGAGUACCAUGGAUGGGGUCCAUUGUGUUUUCAUGAGCUUCUGCAGGCUGGCCUCAGCACAGAGCCACCCUUCAGUUAUGGCCACAGGAAAAAAAA